This 732-nucleotide ribosomal RNA is filed under the name uncultured Corynebacterium sp. RNAcentral describes it as "bacterial SSU rRNA". It matches the Rfam family "Bacterial small subunit ribosomal RNA", at positions 28 to 776 of the family's 1533-position model. Lineage: Bacteria; Bacillati; Actinomycetota; Actinomycetes; Mycobacteriales; Corynebacteriaceae. The record is from RNAcentral.
GACGAACGCUGGCGGCGUGCUUAACACAUGCAAGUCGAACGGAAAGGCCUUUUCGGAGGUACUCGAGUGGCGAACGGGUGAGUAACACGUGGGUGAUCUGCCCCGCACUCUGGGAUAAGCCUGGGAAACUGGGUCUAAUACCGGAUAGGACCGCACUUUAGUGUGUGUGGUGGAAAGUUUUUUCGGUGUAGGAUGAGCCCGCGGCCUAUCAGCUUGUUGGUGGGGUAAUGGCCUACCAAGGCGGCGACGGGUAGCCGGACUGAGAGGUUGGUCGGCCACAUUGGGACUGAGAUACGGCCCAGACUCCUACGGGAGGCAGCAGUGGGGAAUAUUGCACAAUGGGCGCAAGCCUGAUGCAGCGACGCCGCGUGGGGGAUGACGGCCUUCGGGUUGUAAACUCCUUUCGCCAGGGACGAAGCGUUUUGUGACGGUACCUGGAGAAGAAGCACCGGCUAACUACGUGCCAGCAGCCGCGGUAAUACGUAGGGUGCAAGCGUUGUCCGGAAUUACUGGGCGUAAAGAGCUCGUAGGUGGUUUGUCACGUCGUCUGUGAAAUUCCACAGCUUAACUGUGGGCGUGCAGGCGAUACGGGCUGACUUGAGUACUGUAGGGGUAACUGGAAUUCCUGGUGUAGCGGUGAAAUGCGCAGAUAUCAGGAGGAACACCGAUGGCGAAGGCAGGUUACUGGGCAGUUACUGACGCUGAGGAGCGAAAGCAUGGGUAGCAAACAGG